CAUCUAUUCUGCUCAGACAGCUUUCACUGUACCUGUGGCAUCUUUUUCUUGUAGGUAUUGUUGACGUCGUUUUGUUUCACUAUUACUGUCUUUCUGUCUAGGAUAUUUUCUAAUACGUUCACCCUGGCUCUCUUCUCCUUCCCUCAUUCUGUUCUCCUUCUCAUCUGCUCUCCUUCUCCACUCUUUCUCCUCUCCUCUCUUCUCUCUAGGUAUCAGUCAGUUACAUCUCCUCUCUUCUCUCUAGGUAUCAGUCAGUUACAUCUCCUCUCCUCUCCUCUCUAGGUAUCAGUCAGUUACAUCUCCUCUCUUCUCUCUAGGUAUCAGUCAGUUACAUCUCCUCUCCUCUCUUCUCUCUAGGUAUCAGUCAGUUACAUCUCCUCUCCUCUCUCUAGGUAUCAGUCAGUUACAUCUCCUCUCCUCUCUCUAGGUAUCAGUCAGUUACAUCUCCUCUCCUCUCUAGGUAUCAGUCAGUUACAUCUCUUCUCUCUAGGUAUCAGUCAGUUACAUCUCCUCUCUUCUCUCUAGGUAUCAGUCAGUUACAUCUCCUCUCCUCUCUUCUCUCUAGGUAUCAGUCAGUUACAUCUCCUCUCUUCUCUCUAGGUAUCAGUCAGUUACAUCUCCUCUCCUCUCUUCUCUCUAGGUAUCAGUCAGUUACAUCUCCUCUCCUCUCUUCUCUCUAGGUAUCAGUCAGUUACAUCUCCUCUCUAGGUAUCAGUCAGUUACAUCUCCUCUCUUCUCUCUAGGUAUCAGUCAGUUACAUCUCCUCUCUUCUCUCUAGGUAUCAGUCAGUUACAUCUCCUCUCCUCUCUCUAGGUAUCAGUCAGUUACAUCUCCUCUCCUCUCUUCUCUCUAGGUAUCAGUCAGUUACAUCUCCUCUCCUCUCUAGGUAUCAGUCAGUUACAUCUCCUCUCCUCUCUAGGUAUCAGUCAGUUACAUCUCCUCUCCUCUCUAGGUAUCAGUCAGUUACAUCUCCUCUCUUCUCUCUAGGUAUCAGUCAGUUACAUCUCCUCUCUUCUCUCUAGGUAUCAGUCAGUUACAUCUCCUCUCCUCUUUCUAGGUAUCAGUCAGUUACAUCUCCUCUCUUCUCUCUAGGUAUCAGUCAGUUACAUCUCCUCUCUUCUCUCUAGGUAUCAGUCAGUUACAUCUCCUCUCUCUAGGUAUCAGUCAGUUACAUCUCCUCUCCUCUCUCUAGGUAUCAGUCAGUUACAUCUCUUCUCUCUAGGUAUCAGUCAGUUACAUCUCCUCUCCUCUCUCUAGGUAUCAGUCUGUUACAUCUCCUCUCUUCUCUCUAGGUAUCAGUCAGUUACAUCUCCUCUCCUCUCUCUAGGUAUCAGUCAGUUACAUCUCCUCUCCUCUCUCUAGGUAUCAGUCAGUUACAUCUCCUCUCCUCUCUCUAGGUAUCAGUCAGUUACAUCUCUUCUCCUCUCUUCUCUCUAGGUAUCAGUCAGUUACAUCUCCUCUCUUCUCUCUAGGUAUCAGUCAGUUACAUCUCCUCUCUUCUCUCUAGGUAUCAGUCAGUUACAUCUCCUCUCCUCUCUUCUCUCUAGGUAUCAGUCAGUUACAUCUCCUCUCUUCUCUCUAGGUAUCAGUCAGUUACAUAUCCUCUCUUCUCUCUAGGUAUCAGUCAGUUACAUCUCCUCUCUUCUCUCUAGGUAUCAGUCAGUUACAUCUCCUCUCUUCUCCUCUCUAGGUAUCAGUCAGUUACAUCUCCUCUCUUCUCCUCUCUAGGUAUCAGUCAGUUACAUCUCCUCUCCUCUCUUCUCUCUAGGUAUCAGUCAGUUACAUCUCCUCUCCUCUCCUCUAGGUAUCAGUCAGUUACAUCUCCUCUCCUCUCCUCUAGGUAUCAGUCAGUUACAUCUCCUCUCUUCUCUCUAGGUAUCAGUCAGUUACAUCUCCUCUCUUCUCUCUAGGUAUCAGUCAGUUACAUCUCCUCUCCUCUCCUCUCUAGGUAUCAGUCAGUUACAUCUCCUCUCCUCUCUAGGUAUCAGUCAGUUACAUCUCCUCUCUUCUCUCUAGGUAUCAGUCAGUUACAUCUCCUCUCUUCUCUCUAGGUAUCAGUCAGUUACAUCUCCUCUCUAGGUAUCAGUCAGUUACAUCUCCUCUCUUCUCUCUAGGUAUCAGUCAGAGUUACAUCUCCUCUCUUCUCUCUAGGUAUCAGUCAGUUACAUCUCCUCUCUUCUCUCUAGGUAUCAGUCAGAGUUACAUCUCCUCUCUUCUCUCUAGGUAUCAGUCAGAGUUACAUCUCCUCUCUUCUUUCUAGGUAUCAGUCAGUUACAUCUCCUCUCUUCUCUCUAGGUAUCAGUCAGUUACAUCUCCUCUCUUCUCUCUAGGUAUCAGUCAGUUACAUCUCCUCUCUUCUCUCUAGGUAUCAGUCAGUUACAUCUCCUCUCUUCUCUCUAGGUAUCAGUCAGUUACAUCUCCUCUCCUCUCUAGGUAUCAGUCAGUUACAUCUCCUCUCCUCUCUUCUCUCUAGGUAUCAGUCAGUUACAUCUCCUCUCCUCUCUCUAGGUAUCAGUCAGUUACAUCUCCUCUCUUCUCUCUAGGUAUCAGUCAGUUACAUCUCCUCUCUUCUCUCUAGGUAUCAGUCAGUUACAUCUCCUCUCUUCUCUCUAGGUAUCAGUCAGAGUUACAUCUCCUCUCUUCUCUCUAGGUAUCAGUCAGAGUUACAUCUCCUCUCUUCUCUCUAGGUAUCAGUCAGAGUUACAUCUCCUCUCCUCUCUAGGUAUCAGUCAGUUACAUCUCCUCUCCUCUCUCUAGGUAUCAGUCAGAGUUACAUCUCCUCUCCUCUCUAGGUAUCAGUCAGUUACAUCUCCUCUCCUCUCUCUAGGUAUCAGUGAGAGUUACAUCUCCUC
Molecule: long non-coding RNA, 2852 nt
Organism: Salvelinus fontinalis (brook trout)
Lineage: Eukaryota; Metazoa; Chordata; Actinopteri; Salmoniformes; Salmonidae
Exons: 3
Source: RefSeq, a predicted model, not a curated record